CUAAAGUAUUGGAACCUAAUACAACAGCUAUGGACGUAUCAUUGAAACUAGAACAAUAAGUUGCAGGUAUAAGCAGUGAAAGAGAAAAAUCCUCCGCAAAAAUGACGAUUUUUGUAACGUAAUGAAGCUUGAUACGGAUAUUGUCCGUCCUCUGCUACAGAACCGCCGACGAUUUUUGGAACUUCAUUUAUACUUGCAGCUAUAUUUAAUAAUCUUAUAUAGUAAUACAUCUCACUAGUUUUUAAAUCUAAUUUACAGUUUUAAGUCGUUGUAUUUUGAAAAUUCAAUUACGAAUAAAUGCUAAUUUUUCUAAAUAGAAUUAUUACCUGAUGUUUCAAGUAUUGCUAUAAUGGCGAAGAUAUAAAGAAACAGAAACAUUUUAAGACACUUGUUUCUUUGUUGUAACGAAUAAGCUAUCAAUCUGGUAUACUGGACGCACUUCAGGAGUAUUUAUACCAAGUAUGCUUUUAAUGACCGUGGGAAUUAAAGAUACACCUGACCAGUAUUUAAAUUUAGGUCAGAUAUUACCUACAAAAAAAGCUUAUUCGAAUGUAUCUCACGUAUGUUGCGAUAAAACCGAAGAAAACUCGUAACCGACCGGGUACCGCUACCACUUAAGAAGAGAACAGUCAUAAACUAGCAAUUCUAGUCAAAAUCUAUUCUUUUAUCUUUCGAUAGGGGUUUUCCGACCAUGGGCCAACAUAGGAACAUAUUUGUAAUAGAUGUCAUUUUUAUCUUAUUUUUGUCUUGUUUCACUUUCACCAAUCUUAUUUUUGUUUUAUAUGCACCUCCUUUAAGAAUUAUAAAUAAAAUAGCUUUUAAAAUAUAUUUUAAUUUGUUUACUUUUAUGAGAUGAAAUUUUAGUUCAUUAGAAGUUAAGAUAUAUUUUCUUCUUUAACUAUAUCGCGUCUGCUCCACUAUAUUCUUUAAAGAGUUAAAAGAUGGUGACAAAUCAGUUUUGCCAUAAAAGAAGUUCAGUUACGACUUGUAGUAACGAUUACAUAUUUGGUUUGCUCGAUUCAUGUUUCUUUGUCGAUCAGUGACUCAAAGAGGAUUAUCCGAGAACCUUAUUAAACGAGCGCGCAGGACAAUUUAAAAAGGCAUAAAGCUGCACAAUUUAUUCCAUUAUGACAUGACUCACCCUGAUUAUGUUCCAUUCAGAGACGGUGGCUGGGUGAUUGGCCUCAUUCAAAUUGCAUGGUAGUAGUAAAGGUCUAAUUCUGCCGUCAUACACGAACGCACUGUGUACUCAAAUUAAAUUCAUAUUGCUUUUAAAUAUCGCUAUAUUACAUUGGAACAAUAACGCCCAUAGAGGCACAUACAUAAACAGAAACUAUUUCAUUUCUAAUAACUUGAAUGAAGAUCUACAUAUGAUUUCAUAUGAUUUACUUCGAUGAUUUCAGCUAGGUGUGGUUUAAAAAGAUGUUGGAUGAGUUGUGAUAUGGACAAGGAGUAAGGAUGAUUUAACGCAAUUGAAUAUAUUAUAAUACAGAAAAGAACAUCAAAGACGUACAACUUGAACUUCCUUUAUUUAAAUGAAUCAGAGGUAAUAUGAACCGUCGAUGUAACGUUGCUUGUACAAAAAUCAAACUUAACUUCAUUCUGCAUUGCCUGCCUUUAAUUCUUGAAUACUAUCAACGCAAUUAUCUGAGAAGUGCGAGCUAUUGCGUGUUAUUCUAAUUAAUCGGAACUUCGA
This is a long non-coding RNA of Bombus pascuorum, 1696 nucleotides long. RefSeq lists it as uncharacterized. The transcript is spliced from 2 exons. The record is from RefSeq and is a predicted model, not a curated record. NCBI's taxonomy places the organism in Eukaryota, Metazoa, Arthropoda, Insecta, Hymenoptera, Apidae.